RNAcentral lists this ribosomal RNA (620 nucleotides) under uncultured Streptomyces sp. RNAcentral describes it as "bacterial SSU rRNA". It matches the Rfam family "Bacterial small subunit ribosomal RNA", at positions 438 to 1070 of the family's 1533-position model. The record is from RNAcentral. Lineage: Bacteria; Bacillati; Actinomycetota; Actinomycetes; Kitasatosporales; Streptomycetaceae.
AGCAGGGAAGAAGCGCAAGUGACGGUACCUGCAGAAGAAGCGCCGGCUAACUACGUGCCAGCAGCCGCGGUAAUACGUAGGGCGCAAGCGUUGUCCGGAAUUAUUGGGCGUAAAGAGCUCGUAGGCGGCUUGUCGCGUCGGAUGUGAAAGCCCGGGGCUUAACCCCGGGUCUGCAUUCGAUACGGGCAGGCUAGAGUGUGGUAGGGGAGAUCGGAAUUCCUGGUGUAGCGGUGAAAUGCGCAGAUAUCAGGAGGAACACCGGUGGCGAAGGCGGAUCUCUGGGCCAUUACUGACGCUGAGGAGCGAAAGCGUGGGGAGCGAACAGGAUUAGAUACCCUGGUAGUCCACGCCGUAAACGUUGGGAACUAGGUGUUGGCGACAUUCCACGUCGUCGGUGCCGCAGCUAACGCAUUAAGUUCCCCGCCUGGGGAGUACGGCCGCAAGGCUAAAACUCAAAGGAAUUGACGGGGGCCCGCACAAGCAGCGGAGCAUGUGGCUUAAUUCGACGCAACGCGAAGAACCUUACCAAGGCUUGACAUCGCCCGGAAAGCAUCAGAGAUGGUGCCCCCCUUGUGGUCGGGUGACAGGUGGUGCAUGGCUGUCGUCAGCUCGUGUCGUGA